UACGUAGGGUGCAAGCGUUGUCCGGAAUUAUUGGGCGUAAAGAGCUCGUAGGCGGUUUGUCGCGUCGAAUGUGAAAACCCGGGGCUCAACCCCGGGCCUGCAUUCGAUACGGGCAGACUAGAGUUCGGUAGGGGAGUCUGGAAUUCCUGGUGUAGCGGUGAAAUGCGCAGAUAUCAGGAGGAACACCGGUGGCGAAGGCGGGUCUCCGGGCCGAUACUGACGCUGAGGAGCGAAAGCGUGGGGAGCGAACAGG
This 253-nucleotide ribosomal RNA is filed under the name uncultured bacterium. RNAcentral's name for it is "partial 16S ribosomal RNA". It matches the Rfam family "Bacterial small subunit ribosomal RNA", at positions 524 to 776 of the family's 1533-position model. The record is from RNAcentral.